Cuculus canorus (common cuckoo) is the source of this 2254-nucleotide long non-coding RNA. RefSeq lists it as uncharacterized. The record is from RefSeq and is a predicted model, not a curated record. The transcript has 7 exons. Lineage: Eukaryota; Metazoa; Chordata; Aves; Cuculiformes; Cuculidae.
CUGCAUAGCGGCAUCUCCUGAAUUUGGAGCUGUCAGGGCUGGGAACACAAAUUAUUUCCCAGACAAUCAGAAUGGUCUGUAGAUGUUCUGAAGUGAGAAACUUGUUUGCUAACCACCCUUCUCUACAGGACUGUCAAGGAGCUCAGGAAACGAGGCUGGCUGCUGAAACAAAAAUGGUGUUUACAGGCAAGUAAUGGCCUUUGGGUUUUGUGAUGUCAGUGAGAAAAUAAUGCAGCUCUACUCUUCCUGUGGGUGAAACAGAAAAUCAAAGGCGAAACAGCACAACGUAUGGUACAGAAAUUACGUAUAGCACCAGGACAACAUGUAAGAAAACUGGCAGAAAAGGGCUUCCAUGGAUACCAUGGAUAUCAUUAUCCUGAAAACACUUAAGGAUAAGGGGUUGGUUCUUGAAAAUGGCUGAGGCACUGAAAAAUGGGUGGAACAAUCCAUACUUGAUUCAGCUUCUUCUGUAAGUGGGGCAGCUGUGCUCAAUGUUGCCACCUCCUGCCAGGUUUCCUUUAUAUCAGAGAAUCGAGAUGUGCUCACAGAAUAUUUGACUUCAGUACAAAUAUAUUACUUUCUUCUUGAAUAUGUGACUUUCUCCUUUUAUAAAGAUGUAUAUACAUCCUGAUGCACGUACUAUGCACUUUUACCAGACAGACAUUCUGUUUAUUUCUGGAUUUCAGCCCAUGUAUAAAUUAAUCUGCCUUUAUCCCUAUUUCUCAAGAGAUGUACGUAGCUGUCCAUAUACUAGCAUUUAUCUUUCUGGUUAGUGCCACUGUGUGGAUAAUACAUCACUAGAGCAGUGGUGCUAGUUAUGAUGUAUGACACCAACAUAUCAUAAAAGCAUUGCCACUUCUGUGAUGUAUUAUUCAAAACAUGGAAUUAAACAGAAAGAUCAAUAUAAUACAGGCCCUUAAUUUUUUAAGGUGGGUUAGAAGCUUUCAGAUUAAAGAGUUUAGGCGCCAGAAGGUUAACAUAAAGGCUCAAUACACAAAAGAAACAAAUGUGGAUAACUUUUAUUGCAUUUAUGACCCAGUUUGUACCAAAAAAAGAUUCCUUCCGUGGCCAGUGAAACUUUUCAGGUUUCCUACAUGUUUCAAUACCGCUCUGUACUCAGCAGCAAAACAACCUUCUUCUAGAGUAUCUUCCACAAAAUGCUGUUUCCACUGAUGUCACAUCAGCCAGUUCCCUCAGUUCCCUCUCAGAUCCUGGACCAUCACCUGGCAACUCCUGCUGCACCCAACUCUGAGCGACCUGAGGAUGGUACUCUCAUCCCUGUUGAUCAGCUGCCUAAAGUGCUGAGCAGGGCAGAUAAUGGUAGAAAGAGACUAUUUCUUACUCGGCUGUAAUGGAAUGACCAACAGUUUCUUGGAAUAGAUCUUUCCUUUUGAGGAUCCGUGAUGGAUUCUCCAGUUCUUCUCACACUUCAUAGACACAGCCUGGAGUUCUUGGAAUACGCGAAGACAUUUUUCUGGGUUUUGGUCUCUUUUGUAAAAUGAGGCUUUUUAGCCAAAGUGAACUACAUCCAAUUUCCAUUACCACUUUUCCCAGAAGAGGUGGAUUCUAUGAAGUGUUGGUGGGAAACAGCUGGAGGGACAGACGACUUGCCUCUCUGAUGUCACUGCCAAGAAGAGUUCAAUCAGGUUUGAAACAACAACCAGUUUCAGAAUUUUGAAGACUCUUGAAAACCACUAAUUGCACUCAAAGAGAGACAUAUAAGUCCUUAAAAUGAAAUACGGAAAACAAGUUCCCAUGGAGCAUUCUGCCUUUAGAAGCAUUUCCAACACUGAAUAGAAAGUGGCAUUACAUGACAGAAUAAGGACAUUUGGUGGACCAGUAGAGAUUCUUCUGCAGAAGGGCAAGGCCGAAUACUUCUGCACCUCUGCUUGACCAGGUUCUUCAGGUCAUGAAUUAGAGACGUUAUACCUCCGCACUCGCACAUGACAUUUUCAGACUGGUAUGUUGUCUUUUGCAAUGGCCCACAUCAUUGUAUCCCAUGUAAUUUUUUUCCUUUCAUUGUUCACAGUCUUAGUCCGUUCCAGUUUAAAAACACCGCAUAAAUGAGAUAUGAGACUAAGCGUAGCAAGCACAUUAAACUUAUAUUUAAAAAUUGAUUUUGCCUGGAAUUAUGAAUAUGUAGUAUAUUAACUAAAGUGCCACAAAUUUCUUUUAACUAUUAUCUUUUGUAAUGAUGUGACUUAGAAUUUACUUUCUAAGAAAUUUUCAUGAAUACAAAGUGUUCAUCUUCAAA